CCAGCCCCAAAUACCUGCUGCUAAAGAUGAGGGGGAGGCAGGAGCAGAGCAGGGGUGAGGAAGGGGGACUCCCCAUCUGCUGGGAAUCCUCUAGGUUAUCUGUGCAGGCGCGUACGUGCUGAUCGUACACCCCCGGCACUGCCGACAGCCUCCGGCUGUAGGGAGACGAGGGUUGGGAAGUACAUUGGGCGCAGCGGAGGCAUGGCAUGGCUGCCCAGGGAAGCAGCCUGCGGUAGCCGUUCCACAUCUGUCCCUCACGUGGGUGCUGAGCUAAGGCUGAAGAUGCCUUUUGUGCAGCUCUUUUCGGUAGCGAGUUAAUUGAAGCGGACACGGGCAUCUUCAGCGAGGAGUGAAAGCGCAUUUUGCACGCAGAGAUACAGAUUUGUGGGUCCCUUUCUUCCCUGCCCAAGGAGCCAGAAAGUUUUACGAACCGUUUUGCAUCCAGUCCAUGAAAAGUGAAACUUCAGGCUUCAGUCCGGAGCAUUGACACUGGAAGCAGAAGAGACUUUGCACAGUCACAUCCGACCAUCCAGAAGCAGCUGAGUCAGUCCGCUAGAGUAUUCAUGCUCCCGGCAAGACAGCUGCAGGCAGAUGCAUCUCAGGUUGAACGCACCGCUUCCAGGAGUCAGCUCUUUCCUGAGCGAAAGGAUUGCUAAUUCCUCCGAUGCCAGGAGAGGCCAGUGAGGAGAGGGGGAUGCUCCACCUGAACAGCCUGCAGAAAGGGACCAACGGCAGCUCCCGCUCACUGACCUUCUGCUCUCGCUCGACCAGGCAGUGCUGUGCCCAGGAAAGAGCAAAAGACGGACUGCAAAGCAGUGAAGGAGCCGCUGUGUCAGUCCAGUCAUUGACUGCCAAACCCUCCUUCCGUCUUGGAAAGGUGGCUGCGCAGCUCUCCUGAAGGAAAAGGUUUAACCGCUUGUAGUGGAAAAGCAUGGCCUGAAGGGAUCAAAAUAAGCUACAGCAGUUUUUUAUCACUACUUAUGCAGCCAGGCCAGAGAACUGAGCAGCAGGCUCUACUUGCUGGCAAACCAAGGGCGACCAUGACAACUGCAGAACUUGGUAGAUCCUCAGAGACAGAGAAUACGGAAGAUCUGCAGGAACCUGUCCAGCUAGCGCCUAGUCUGCUUUCUAGGCAACUGACAGGCACCUCCAGUUCUCUCCCUGCACGUUGCUGGAAGACUGAAAAGUCCAUCUAUAGCUGUCUUAACCACACUAAUCACACUUUAAUGCAAGUGCUACACUUACGAUUCUCUAGGUAUGUGGUAACACCUCCAGUUUGACAUUUAUUAAAAAUUGUACUGAAAAUUCCAAAAUUAUGUCCCAUUCUUUUUACAUGCCACCUUCUUGUUUCUCUGUGCUGGUUUGCUUCCACUUCAGACACUAACUUUCCCUUCUACACAUGCUGUCACUAGCCACAUGCUGCAUUUCCCAUUAUUUCACAUUACCCUCCUUACUAAAAGCUGAAGCAAAAUAUCCAUCUAUUUUUGCAGCCAUAGAUUAUUUUCAGUCUCAAUUUCAGCCUCACUAAUAGACCUUUUCUGUGCCUUGCAAUUCCUACCUGUCCAAAAGUACAUCCAUCUUCCUAAAGGCACUGGAUUCUCGUGGACAGAAAGACUAGUUGAAAAAUCACUGGAGAUUUUAUUGUAAUUUACCACUAAAGACAUUCUUUGUGCUGUCUAUGAGCAACCAAUACCCUCAGACUGAAAUAUUUCAGUAUGUCUCUAUACUAUGGAGUAAGGCUUUGUUGGAAAAAAAACCCCAACAAACACCAAAAACAAAACUAAGAAAACCAAACCCAAACCUGUUACUUUAACUACAGCUUUACUAAAAUUGCUUACAAAAAUCCAGCAGGCCACCAAAUUGACAAAGGCGGCAGAGUCUUUAAAAUCUGUUGUGUUGUCCCGAUGUUGCAUAGCCACAUUCCCAUGCAUAAAACCAAUUGUUUUCCUUUUCUAGAGGGAAAGUCAUUUUGAAUGGGCCAGUGGAAACUCUUUGUGGAGUCUCUCCUCACUCCCAACUAUGUGGCUUUAGAAUCGAUUGCCCCAGCAUGACUCCAUUUCAGAUACAGACUGAAAAAGUCAGAUCAAGGAGAACAACUGGAAAAAGCAUUUUGAACAUGUGUCCUGGUUUCAGCUGGGAUAGAGUUAGUUUUCUUUCUAGUAGCUGGUAUAGUGUUAUGUUUUGGAUUUAGGAUGAGAAGAAUGUUGAUAACACACUGAUGUUUUCAGUUGUUGCUAAGUGGUGUUUAUACUAAGUCAAGGAUUUUUCAGCUUCUCAUGCUCAGCCAGCAAGAAGGCUGGAGGGGCACAAGAAGUUGGGAGGGGACACAGCCAGGGCAGCUGACCCAAACUGGCCAAAGGGAUAUUCCACACCAUGUGAUGUCAUGCCCAGUACAUCAGCUGGGGGGAGAUGGCCAGGGGGGCAGAUCACUGCUUGGGGGACUAACUGGGCAUUGGUUGGCGAACGGUGAGCAAUUGCAUUGUGCAUCACUUGUUUUGUAUAUUCCAAUUCUUUUACUCUUGUCAUUUUAUUAUUGUUAUGAUUAUUAUUUUCUUCCUUUCUGUCCUAUUAAACUGUCUUUAUCUCAACCCAUGAUUU
Long non-coding RNA from Harpia harpyja (harpy eagle), 2598 nucleotides. RefSeq lists it as uncharacterized. The record is from RefSeq and is a predicted model, not a curated record. NCBI's taxonomy places the organism in Eukaryota, Metazoa, Chordata, Aves, Accipitriformes, Accipitridae. The transcript is spliced from 6 exons.